Long non-coding RNA from Neofelis nebulosa (Clouded leopard), 1123 nucleotides. RefSeq lists it as uncharacterized. The record is from RefSeq and is a predicted model, not a curated record. NCBI's taxonomy places the organism in Eukaryota, Metazoa, Chordata, Mammalia, Carnivora, Felidae. The transcript has 4 exons.
GGUGGGUGGAUGGCUGGCAGACUGGCUGGCUGGAUGGGCAGAUAGCUGGAUGGGCAAAUAGAUGGGUGGAUGGAUAGAUGGAUGGAUGGAAGGUGCAUGGAUGUAUUAGUAGAUGGAAGGAAGGGAAAAAGGUAGAUAGGAAGGAAGGAUGGAUUAGUGAGUGAUUGAGUAGAUGAGAUAGGGAAAAUGUAACCCAAAUAGAUUUAAAAGCUUGAAGUCCAUUUAAGUACAACUGUUUUGCCUGCAGUGGGGAGGUUGCAAUUGAUUUUGUGAUAAAACCAAAGGAAGUUGUGAUGUAAAAUAUAAAGGAAAACACUCAGAAGACAGAAAGUAAGGAAGGCUGGGAGAAAAUCAUUGUAGCAGAAAAGGCCUGAGCUUUGAAGACAAGAUGUUAUCUUGAAGGCUUGUUUGGAAGUUUUGGAGGGGAGCAUCUGACCCUCUGUCAACUGAAUCCCAGUGUGGAAGGCCUGACCUUUCUAGACUUUGGACUUGGUGUCUGUGCUUUGUCUUCCAGGUAUCUGGAUCUCAGCUUUCUCUGGGACUCAUGCACCAGGCUCUCUGCUUUUCAGCCUCCAGGAUGCUGCAGACACAACAAGCAAGCAAGCCUCUGAAGAAUGUUUUGGUCUCCUCAAUGCUCUGAAAGAGUAUCCUGGUAUGGUGGGUGUCAGCUGGAUUUUCCAAGGAGCAUUGUGGUGCCAGUAUCCUAUUUCCCUCUUUUUCAUCCACCAACUCUUGGCAUAAGGAUGAAACGCUCCCAGAUCCCCAGGUGAUGUAGCCUUCAGGCAAUCAGAACAUAAUGUUCCUGUCCUAGCCACAAGGGAUGAAUUCAGUGAUGGCUACAUGACCUAAUGAGAACCCAAGUGAUGCAGUGAGAUGCUUACUGGGGCUUCCAGAAGAGAAUCCUAUUCCUGCCAGCUAGACUGGAAGCUGAGAGGAUGGGGUCCUGGAGGUCAGGAAGCUAUCUUGCAACAAUAUGGAGCCUAAGAUGGAAGUCCACGUGGUGCAAAACAGAACCCAAAAGAGGAAGAAAUUGAGUCCCAGUGAUACCAUUUGAGCCCUGAAUCCAGCAGGACCUGAAGUUGGACCUACCUCUGGAACUUUCAGCCUUGAAAACAAAUAAAGU